GAUUUAUUAACUAUAUAAGUAUGUGUUUUGAAAAUACAAAAAAGAGUUUUCUCUAUAAAUCUU
Molecule: transfer RNA, 63 nt
Filed under: Amblyomma sp.
Lineage: Eukaryota; Metazoa; Arthropoda; Arachnida; Ixodida; Ixodidae
Description: tRNA-Ser
Source: RNAcentral